UGGUGAUUGCCUUUAUUCCAAGCUGGC
RNAcentral lists this non-coding RNA (27 nucleotides) under Mus musculus (house mouse). The record is from RNAcentral. Lineage: Eukaryota; Metazoa; Chordata; Mammalia; Rodentia; Muridae.